UACGUAGGCAGCAAGCGUUGUUCGGAAUUACUGGGCGUAAAGAGUGUGUAGGCGGUGCUCUAAGUUCGGUGUGAAAUCUCCCGGCUCAACUGGGAGGGUGCGCCGAAAACUGGAGUGCUGGAGCGCGGGAGAGGAAAGCGGAAUUCCUGGUGUAGCGGUGAAAUGCGUAGAUAUCAGGAGGAACACCCGUGGCGAAGGCGGCUCUCUGGCCUGUAACUGACGCUGAGGCGCGAAAGCGUGGGGAGCAAACAGG
Molecule: ribosomal RNA, 253 nt
Filed under: uncultured bacterium
Lineage: Bacteria
Description: partial 16S ribosomal RNA
Rfam family: Bacterial small subunit ribosomal RNA
Source: RNAcentral